This 686-nucleotide long non-coding RNA is filed under the name Mytilus galloprovincialis (Mediterranean mussel). Lineage: Eukaryota; Metazoa; Mollusca; Bivalvia; Mytilida; Mytilidae. The record is from RNAcentral.
CGAAGGGCCAAGUGAGCUUUUCCCAUCACUUGGCGUCCGUCGUCGUCUGUCGUCCGUCGUCGUUAACUUUUACAAAAAUCUUCUCCUCUGAAACUACUGGGCCAAAUUAAACCAAACUUGGCCACAAUCAUCAUUGGGGUAUCUAGUUUAAAAAAUGUGUGGCGUGACCCGGCCAACCAACCAAGAUGGCCGCCAUGGCUAAAAAUAGAACAUAGGGGUAAAAUGCAGUUUUUGGCUUAUAACUCAAAAACCAAAGCAUUUAGAGCAAAUCUGACAUGGGGUAAAAUUGUUUAUCAGGUCAAGAUCUAUCUGCCUUCAAAUUUUCAGAUGAAUCCGACAACCCGUUGUUGGGUUGCUGCCCCCGAAAUUAGUAAUUUUAAGGAAAUUUUGCAGAUUUUGGUUAUUAUCUUGAAUAUUAUUAUAGAUAGAGAUAAACUGUAAACAGCAAUAAUGUUCAGCAAAAUAAGAUCUACAAAUAAGUCAAACAAGACCAAAAUUGUCAAUUGACCCCUUAAGGAGUUAUUGCUCUUUAUAGUCAAUUGUUAACAAUUUUCAUAAAUUUUUGUUAAUUUUUGUAAAUUUUUAGGAAAUAUUUUCCACUGUAAUUACUGGGCCAAGUUCAUUAUAGAUAGAGAUAAUUGUAGCAACAAGAAUAUUCAGUAAAGAAAGAUCUACAAACACAUCAC